Cyprinus carpio (common carp) is the source of this 876-nucleotide long non-coding RNA. RefSeq lists it as uncharacterized. The transcript has 3 exons. The record is from RefSeq and is a predicted model, not a curated record. Lineage: Eukaryota; Metazoa; Chordata; Actinopteri; Cypriniformes; Cyprinidae.
UGCCAACACACUGGUUGUGAAGAACCCUUUCCAGAGAAAUAUAAAAGGAAAUGACUGAAACUUGUGUUGGGGAGGAUUCAGUGUCUGCUGAGGCUCAUGUGAAUGUGAUACAAAGUGAGUAUCAGAAAACACCUCCAGACACCUGGACUGUCAAAGAGCACACGGGAGGAACAUUCUCCUGGAGACGCUGAGAAAGCACGGAAGGAAUGUCUGUGGAGGAUGUAUUUAAAAACACUCAUACUUAAGAACACCUGCUGGAGGGGACCCUGCUACACCCUUUCCUACCAUACACCUCAUGGAUUCUGACUGGAAAAUGGUAAUCAUAGGAGGAGGGCUCAGUGUGAUGACAGAAGAUGGAAUAGACGUGUGCCAGUGCACCAGCCUUGAUGAAGCCUUCAUAACAGCCUUCUGGAUGUAUUUUGCUUUCAACAUUACAUAUCCAACAUACCUGAGAAAGACAUUGACUUUUCUUCAGAGGCACAUUGUCAACAUUGUGGAAGAUGGAGACAAGCACUGCCAGUAACUUUACUCUGAGUGAUCAGCCUUUUGUAUUAGAUCCUCAUGCCUCAACUCUACCAUUGCCCAAAGUGCACUCAAAGGACAUCCACUCUUUUGAAGUUAAUCCAACAUGUUGGAGUUGUACAUGCACAUGAACCAAAUAUUAGUAUAACCUGUGAUAUAGAUGAGUGCCAGUCAACUUUUUUGUCAUUCCAUUCUUUUAGAAAACAUGCACAGGAAUCAUAUGUACUUUUGGUAACAAAAAUUACAGUCUCAGUGAAGAGUCUGCAGUACAAUUAUAUUAUAAUAUAAUGGAGAAGGGUCUGGCUGCAGACUUGCACUUGCACUCUCAGACACUUGCGCUUCUGCUAAUGACAA